CGCCCGCGCUGCGCCAUGGGCGCCUCGUCGAGCCGCCGCCGCCGGGACGACUACUACCCGCCGCCGCCCCCGCCGCCUCACCACUACUCCUCGUACCCGCCCCCGCCGCACCAUCACCACCACCACCCGCCUCCUCCCCCGCCGCACCACCGGGCUCCCCCUCCGCCGCCGCCGCCCGCCUCCUCGUACUACUACCACCCCCAGCCGCCGCCCCCGCACGCGUACCACGGCCCGUGGCACCCGGCGCCCGCACCGCCGCCGCCGCUGCAGCAGCCGCAGCCGCAGCCGCUCGCGCUGACGGGCCCCCCGCCCGAGUACGUGGAGCACCAGCAGGCGCAGAAGGUGAAGAACUACGUCAACCUGCACAAGGACACCAUCAGGCUCGAGCCCGACGGCGCCGACCCCGACCGCCGCCUCGUCGCCUUCACCUUCGACGCGGUGACCGACGGCAGUGUGACUAUAUAUUACUUUGCCAAGGAAGGAAAAGACUGUAGUUUUUCUUCAGUAUACCCAGAAUUACAGACGCCAACAAAGAUACCCUUCCAGAAAGGGUUAGCCCAAAGGUUCAUCCAGCCCUCUGGAUCUGGUGUUGACUUGGGAUUCUUUUCUCUUGAUGAGCUUUCAAAUCCAUCAGGGGAAGUAUUCCCUCUGGUAGUUUAUGCAGAAGCAUAUCCAUCUCCAGAUGAAGGUGGCCCGUCAGUAAACUCCACUCGUGCACAGAUUACUCUUGCUGUUUUGGAGAAGCAUAACAAUGACCUUCGAGUCAAAGUUAUCAAGCAAAUCUUGUGGAUUGAUGGAGUGAGGUAUGAGCUACAGGAAAUUUUCGGUCUUGUCAACUCCACAGAAGCGGAUGUUGCUGAUGCUGAUGCUGAUGACACGGGAAAGGAAUGUGUUAUCUGCUUGACAGAACCAAGGGACACUGCUGUUAUGCCUUGUAGACAUUUGUGUUUGUGCAGUGAAUGUGCAAAAACUCUACGAUUUCAGUCAAAUAAAUGCCCCAUAUGCAGACAGCCUGUUGAAAAACUAAUGGAGAUCAAAGUUAGAAGUCCUGAGCCAUAAAGGAGACUUUGAUGGUAAGUUUGAACUAAAGCAUUGCUUCUGCUUAGGGUCCUCUGCUGUCCUGAGAUUAAUGGAGUGAAAAGUUGCUGGACAUGUUGUGGAUGUUUCAAUAAUGAGCUGAGAUGGUGUGUGGGAGGCUCAUCGUACAGACAUAUUGCCGUAUCGCCUGUCUUCGGGGGGAAAAUAAACAGAUUGUACCACAUAAAUAGCACAGUUCAUGGUCAUUAGGCCGCUUGCACAGUGUUCUGAUGUAUGCAGAUUGCUUGUAUGUAGAUAGGAGUAUAAAUGGGAACCAAACAGUUUCAGUGGAUCGGCUUGUACGGUUGUACCGACCUACUAACUUGCAUCCCUUUGGGAAGCUCGUAUAAUGGAACUUGGUCCAAAUU
RNA transcript from Panicum virgatum (switchgrass), 1445 nucleotides. It is a transcript of the gene named probable E3 ubiquitin-protein ligase LUL4, with no coding region annotated. NCBI's taxonomy places the organism in Eukaryota, Viridiplantae, Streptophyta, Magnoliopsida, Poales, Poaceae. The transcript is spliced from 5 exons. The record is from RefSeq and is a predicted model, not a curated record.